This 385-nucleotide long non-coding RNA is filed under the name Phoenix dactylifera (date palm). RNAcentral describes it as "long non-coding RNA (PDAC_LNC006757)". The record is from RNAcentral. Lineage: Eukaryota; Viridiplantae; Streptophyta; Magnoliopsida; Arecales; Arecaceae.
GACUUUUGUGCUUGAUCCUAAUCUGUUCUAAGGUCUUUUAGAACAAAUGUAACUCCCACUAUUUUCUCGAAUUCCUCACACUCCCCUGGUAGGAAAACGAAAAUCCCACACGACUAGGGUUUCUAGUGGGUACUGCGGUCCCACCAAUUUACAUGCCACCUCACCUAACGGUUAUUAAUGACACAUAAAUUGAUGAAUGUACAACUCUUGUACAAUGCUUCUUAAGCAUGUUGCAGUGCUACUUGGUCUCUAAGCCAUGAAAACCUCACCUAACAGUUAUUGGUCCCAUUUCUUAGUUAAGUCAGACCCACCGUAUAACCGUAGGAAUAAAGUCGUCAUUGGGUCCUCACCUAACAGUUAUUGGUGCCCAACCCCACCUUUACCC